Molecule: ribosomal RNA, 274 nt
Filed under: uncultured bacterium
Lineage: Bacteria
Description: partial small subunit ribosomal RNA
Rfam family: Bacterial small subunit ribosomal RNA
Source: RNAcentral
AGAAUCAACGCUGGCGGCGUGCAUCAGACAUGCAAGUCGAACGAUUAAACUCCCCUUCGGGGGAGAUAUAAAGUGGCGCACGGGUGAGUAACACGUAGGUAAUUUGCCUUCGGGUGGGGAAUAACAGCCGGAAACGGCUGCUAAUACCGCAUAAUGCAGCGGCACCACACGGUGACAGUUGUUAAAGCGGGGGAUCGCAAGACCUCGCGCCUGAAGAGAAGCCUGCGGCAGAUUAGCUAGUUGGUAGGGUAAUGGCCUACCAAGGCUACGAUCU